GGGAACGUGCCUUUAGGUUCGGAAUAACUCAGGGAAACUUGUGCUAAUACCGAAUGUGCCCUUCGGGGGAAAGAUUUAUCGCCUUUAGAGCGGCCCGCGUCUGAUUAGCUAGUUGGUGAGGUAAAGGCUCACCAAGGCGACGAUCAGUAGCUGGUCUGAGAGGAUGAUCAGCCACAUUGGGACUGAGACACGGCCCAAACUCCUACGGGAGGCAGCAGUGGGGAAUCUUGCGCAAUGGGCGAAAGCCUGACGCAGCCAUGCCGCGUGAAUGAUGAAGGUCUUAGGAUUGUAAAAUUCUUUCACCGGGGACGAUAAUGACGGUACCCGGAGAAGAAGCCCCGGCUAACUUCGUGCCAGCAGCCGCGGUAAUACGAAGGGGGCUAGCGUUGCUCGGAAUUACUGGGCGUAAAGGGAGCGUAGGCGGACAUUUAAGUCAGGGGUGAAAUCCCGGGGCUCAACCUCGGAAUUGCCUUUGAUACUGGGUGUCUUGAGUAUGAGAGAGGUGUGUGGAACUCCGAGUGUAGAGGUGAAAUUCGUAGAUAUUCGGAAGAACACCAGUGGCGAAGGCGACACACUGGCUCAUUACUGACGCUGAGGCUCGAAAGCGUGGGGAGCAAACAGGAUUAGAUACCCUGGUAGUCCACGCCGUAAACGAUGAUUGCUAGUUGUCGGGAUGCAUGCAUUUCGGUGACGCAGCUAACGCAUUAAGCAAUCCGCCUGGGGAGUACGGUCGCAAGAUUAAAACUCAA
RNAcentral lists this ribosomal RNA (749 nucleotides) under uncultured Brevundimonas sp. RNAcentral describes it as "bacterial SSU rRNA". It matches the Rfam family "Bacterial small subunit ribosomal RNA", at positions 120 to 904 of the family's 1533-position model. The record is from RNAcentral. Lineage: Bacteria; Pseudomonadati; Pseudomonadota; Alphaproteobacteria; Caulobacterales; Caulobacteraceae.